This 196-nucleotide ribosomal RNA is filed under the name uncultured crenarchaeote. RNAcentral's name for it is "partial 16S ribosomal RNA". It matches the Rfam family "Archaeal small subunit ribosomal RNA", at positions 476 to 672 of the family's 1478-position model. The record is from RNAcentral. Lineage: Archaea; Thermoproteati; Thermoproteota.
CCAGCUCUCCGAGUGGUGUGGAUGUUUAUUGGGCCUAAAGCAUCCGUAGCUGGCUAAGUUAGUCCCUUGUUAAAUCCACCGAAUUAAUCGUUGGAUUGCGGGGGAUACUGCUUGGCUAGGGGACGAGAGAGGCGGACGGUAUUUCCGGGGUAGGGGUGAAAUCCUAUAAUCCCGGGAAGACCACCAGUGGCGAAGG